This 215-nucleotide ribosomal RNA is filed under the name Larimus fasciatus (banded drum). Its description in RNAcentral is "partial small subunit ribosomal RNA". It matches the Rfam family "Bacterial small subunit ribosomal RNA", at positions 492 to 794 of the family's 1533-position model. The record is from RNAcentral. Lineage: Eukaryota; Metazoa; Chordata; Actinopteri; Sciaenidae.
GUCGGUAAAACUCGUGCCAGCCACCGCGGUUAUACGAGAGGCCCAAGUUGAUAAUUAACGGCGUAAAGAGUGGUUAGAAAGAGUUUUUACUAAAGCCGAACGUCUUCAGAGCUGUUAUACGCAUCCGAAGAUGAGAAGCCCAUCCACGAAAGUGGCUUUACAGUCUUGAACCCACGAAAGCUACGAAACAAACUGGGAUUAGAUACCCCACUAUG